RNAcentral lists this long non-coding RNA (479 nucleotides) under Sinocyclocheilus anshuiensis. RNAcentral's name for it is "lncRNA (ENSSANG00000016731.1)". Lineage: Eukaryota; Metazoa; Chordata; Actinopteri; Cypriniformes; Cyprinidae. The record is from RNAcentral.
UUGUGGUUUUCUUGCGCUCGUGCGUCCGUCUGUGUGCUGUUGGGAAGAUGCACUAUUAUUUUUGAAUUAGUCAGAUGCGAACACAAUGAGUCGCAGGCUUCUGGCUGUUAUUGUUAUUGUGCACGUGUGUUUGCUUCGGGUCGACUGACUGCUGGCGCUCUGUCUUCACACAUUCAGUGUGUUUUGGCUUCAUUCGUCUCUCUCUCUCUCUCUGUGUUUCUUCACAGGAUCCGAGAUGUCGCUCGCCCCUUAAAUCACUUUCUGCACCACCGAAAGUGACUGCUGUCCUCAGCCCAUCUGUUUGCCUGCUCUUCACCUUCAGCCUCGGCCUGGAUCUGCAGCCAAUCAGACGCCAGCGCUGUUCAUUAAAGCAACAGUUCACCCUAAAAUCAGCACCGUUUACUCUCACUCGUGUCCUUCAGACCUGAGCUUGUUCUCUGGAGCUCAAAAGAAGAUAUUGCUUAUAUCAGACCCCAGUG